UAAUGUAUGGGGAUCUGCCCGAUAGAGGGGGAUAACUACUGGAAACGGUGGCUAAUACCGCAUAAUGUCUACGGACCAAAGCAGGGGCUCUUCGGACCUUGCACUAUCGGAUGAACCCAUAUAGGAUUAGCUAGUAGGUGGGGUAAAGGCUCACCUAGGCGACGAUCUCUAGCUGGUCUGAGAGGAUGAUCAGCCACACUGGGACUGAGACACGGCCCAG
RNAcentral lists this ribosomal RNA (220 nucleotides) under uncultured bacterium. RNAcentral's name for it is "partial 16S ribosomal RNA". It matches the Rfam family "Bacterial small subunit ribosomal RNA", at positions 111 to 334 of the family's 1533-position model. The record is from RNAcentral.